Molecule: unclassified non-coding RNA, 260 nt
Filed under: Hevea brasiliensis (rubber tree)
Lineage: Eukaryota; Viridiplantae; Streptophyta; Magnoliopsida; Malpighiales; Euphorbiaceae
Source: RNAcentral
UCGGGGAGGAAGAGCUUAGCUAAGAACUCUAGAGGUUGCGAGAAGAUAUUACUGUAGCAAUGGAGGCGGUGAGAAGGAGGAGCUUUGGUUGGCCGACAAUGGCGGUGGUGCUAACAUGCGCUUUGCUCGUGAUGCUGCCUCAAGUGUACUCGAUUCGGUACAUUGUGGGAUCGAGAUUCGGGUGGACUAACAGUGUCAAUUACACCAAUUGGGCUAAGGACAAACAUUUCUACAACGGAGACUGGCUCUUUUUUGUGUAU